This 893-nucleotide unclassified non-coding RNA is filed under the name Hevea brasiliensis (rubber tree). The record is from RNAcentral. Lineage: Eukaryota; Viridiplantae; Streptophyta; Magnoliopsida; Malpighiales; Euphorbiaceae.
UUCUUAUAUCACUACCUCAUCGGACAUACCAUAAACACCACUCUUUCUUUUUCAUUAAUUAUCGGUUUAUUCUUCACAAGGUUUCCAUUUCUGUUUUGCUUCAUCGUCGCUGGUUGGAACGCCGAUCCGGCGUCCAUUUCCAGCGAUGCAUAGCGUUGACUCCCCAUUCCGAGGAAUUGUUGAAGACUUUAAUGGAAGAAAAGCUUGCUACUUACAAGAUUGGACCAAUGCACUCGGAACCGGUGUCAGGAUUUUGGCUCCAACGACCUAUAUAUUCUUCGCUUCUGCUCUUCCAGUUAUUGCCUUCGGAGAGCAACUUAGCAGGGAAACAGAUGGAACCCUGAGCGCGGUGGAAACCCUGGCUUCUACUGCUAUAUGCGGUAUCAUACACUCUUUGAUUGGUGGCCAGCCUUUGCUAAUCUUGGGAGUUGCGGAACCCACGGUUAUAAUGUACAACUAUUUGUAUAGUUUUGCAAUAAGAGCUGACGCCAUUGGAAAGAAGCUCUAUUUGGCUUGGGCUGGAUGGGUGUGUGUCUGGACAGCUCUUCUACUCUUUCUUCUUGCUAUGUUCAAUGCUUGCACAAUCAUCAAUAGAUUUACAAGGGUUGCAGGAGAACUUUUUGGCAUGUUAAUUGCAGUCCUUUUCAUUCAACAAGCGGUGAAGGGGAUGGUAGGUGAAUUCAAAAUCCCCGAUAACGAAGACCCAAACAUAGAGAAAUAUAGUUUUCAGUGGCUAUACACAAACGGCCUGCUGGGUGUCAUAUUCACCUUUGGCUUACUCUUCACUGCUUUAAAAAGCAGAGGUGCAAGAUCAUGGCAAUAUGGCACAGGAUGGUUUCGGAGCUUCAUUGCGGAUUAUGGAGUUUCUUUAAUGGUGGUAUUAUGGGCAGCAU